UACGGAGGAUGCAAGCGUUAUCCGGAUUUAUUGGGUUUAAAGGGUGCGUAGGUGGAUUGGUAAGUCAGUGGUGAAAGUUUGCAGCUUAACUGUAAAAUUGCCGUUGAAACUGCCGGUCUUGAGUGCAAAUGAGGUAGGCGGAAUGCGUCGUGUAGCGGUGAAAUGCUUAGAUAUGACGCAGAACUCCGAUUGCGAAGGCAGCUUACUGGGAUGCAACUGACGCUGAGGCACGAAAGCGUGGGUAUCAAACAAGAUUAGA
RNAcentral lists this ribosomal RNA (259 nucleotides) under uncultured prokaryote. Its description in RNAcentral is "partial 16S ribosomal RNA". It matches the Rfam family "Bacterial small subunit ribosomal RNA", at positions 524 to 782 of the family's 1533-position model. The record is from RNAcentral.